RNAcentral lists this long non-coding RNA (417 nucleotides) under Homo sapiens (human). Its description in RNAcentral is "HSALNT0290174". Lineage: Eukaryota; Metazoa; Chordata; Mammalia; Primates; Hominidae. The record is from RNAcentral.
AGUCUGAACUUGCCAGCAUCCAGGCAGGACGGCAGCAGCUGAGCAGAGGAGAGAGGUGGAGGAGAUGCCGCUGUCCCGUCGGUCUGGGGACAGCCCAGCUCCCCGGAUCCCGGGCUGGAGAGACGCGUCGCGGCCCCGGGGCCUGGUGGCACGAGCAGGAAGGAGGACCCGGCGGCGGGCUCUGCCUGGGCUUGCCUGGGCUUGUUCCGAGCCGGGCUGCUUCUCGGUGACCACGCAGAUCGGGGGCAUUUGGAGAUUUUGCGGGAGUCCUGCAGCCAAGCUCCGGGGCAGGAGAGGCCUGGAAGCCUGCACUACCUGCUCGCCCCGUCCCAGCAUGCACCCAGGUGCUGGGGAGAGGCAGGACAGGCCUGUCCCCCGAGUCCCCUCCGGAUGCCGUGGACCGGCCAGCUGUGAGUG